UCGAUUGGCGGACGGGUGAGUAAUGCUUGGGAACAUGCCUUGAGGUGGGGGACAACAGUUGGAAACGACUGCUAAUACCGCAUAAUGUCUACGGACCAAAGGGGGCUUCGGCUCUCGCCUUUAGAUUGGCCCAAGUGGGAUUAGCUAGUUGGUGAGGUAAUGGCUCACCAAGGCGACGAUCCCUAGCUGGUUUGAGAGGGUGAUCAGCCACACUGGGACUGAGACACGGCCCAGACUCCUACGGGAGGCAGCAGUGGGGAAUAUUGCACAAUGGGCGCAAGCCUGAUGCAGCCAUGCCGCGUGUGUGAAGAAGGCCUUCGGGUUGUAAAGCACUUUCAGUCAGGAGGAAAGGUUAGUAGUUAAUACCUGCUAGCUGUGACGUUACUGACAGAAGAAGCACCGGCUAACUCCGUGCCAGCAGCCGCGGUAAUACGGAGGGUGCGAGCGUUAAUCGGAAUUACUGGGCGUAAAGCGUACGCAGGCGGUUUGUUAAGCGAGAUGUGAAAGCCCCGGGCUCAACCUGGGAACUGCAUUUCGAACUGGCAAACUAGAGUGUGAUAGAGGGUGGUAGAAUUUCAGGUGUAGCGGUGAAAUGCGUAGAGAUCUGAAGGAAUACCGAUGGCGAAGGCAGCCACCUGGGUCAACACUGACGCUCAUGUACGAAAGCGUGGGGAGCAAACGGGAUUAGAUACCCCGGUAGUCCACGCCGUAAACGAUGUCUACUAGAAGCUCGGAGCCUCGGUUCUGUUUUUCAAAGCUAACGCAUUAAGUAGACCGCC
Molecule: ribosomal RNA, 779 nt
Filed under: uncultured Pseudoalteromonas sp.
Lineage: Bacteria; Pseudomonadati; Pseudomonadota; Gammaproteobacteria; Alteromonadales; Pseudoalteromonadaceae
Description: bacterial SSU rRNA
Rfam family: Bacterial small subunit ribosomal RNA
Source: RNAcentral